GUGAAAUCAAACACUCUCUAAGUUUGAUGAUGAGAAUUAAUCAAUUAAAAAAAAAUACAUUAUUUUUAUUGAAUUUAAUAAGAUUGAAGUAAAUUAGUGGAUUAGACUUAGACCUAAAAUAUCAGAAGCCUAAUUAAACAUGAUCCAACCAAUAUAUUGAACAUGUCCAUUCACUAAGCAGUACCCAAAAGUUAAACCAAUUAUUCUCGAGUAUUAUUAACCAUAUUUGUAGGUACAUAGAUGUGAAUCUCUAGGAAAAAGACUUGACUAUAAUUUACUAGUAAUUAACUAUAAUCUCUAAGGAAGGAGGAAAAGUUUCACAUCAUUGAUUAAGCAAAGUUGUUCUGCAAGAGACAAAUCCAAGAGCACACAGAUUGCUUAUGAUACUUCUCCUCUUGGAAACCCACAUGUGAGCACAUGGGAAAUUUAUUAGGAGUAGGACAAC
Molecule: unclassified non-coding RNA, 445 nt
Filed under: Hevea brasiliensis (rubber tree)
Lineage: Eukaryota; Viridiplantae; Streptophyta; Magnoliopsida; Malpighiales; Euphorbiaceae
Source: RNAcentral